Molecule: transfer RNA, 71 nt
Filed under: Teleaulax amphioxeia
Lineage: Eukaryota; Cryptophyceae; Pyrenomonadales; Geminigeraceae
Description: tRNA-Cys
Rfam family: tRNA
About the family: Transfer RNA (tRNA) molecules are approximately 80 nucleotides in length.
Source: RNAcentral
GGCUAGAUAACAUAACGGUAAUGUAAAAGACUGCAAAUCUUUUAAUAGUGGUUCAAUUCCACUUCUAGCUU